GAUGAACGCUAGCGGCAGGCCUAAUACAUGCAAGACGAGCGGUAAAUAGUGUAGCAAUACAUUAUGAGAGCGUCGUAAGGGUGCGUAACAAGUAUGCAAUCUGCCCUCAACAGGAGGAUAGCUCCCCGAAAGGGGAAUUAACACUCCAUAGUUUUGAUUGGUGGCAUCACCGAUCAAAUAAAACUCCGGUGGUUGAGGAUGAGCAUGCUUCUGAUUAGCUAGUUGGUGGUGUAACGGACCACCAAGGCGAUGAUCAGUAGGGGAACUGAGAGGUUGAUCCCCCACACUGGCACUGAGAUACGGGCCAGACUCCUACGGGAGGCAGCAGUAGGGAAUAUUGGUCAAUGGAUGCAAGUCUGAACCAGCCAUGCCGCGUGCAGGAAGAAGGCCUUCUGGGUCGUAAACUGCUUUUGCCAGGGGAUAAAAUUCCGAUGCGUCGGAAAUUGAAGGUACCUGGUGAAUAAGCCACGGCUAACUACGUGCCAGCCGCCGCCGUAA
RNAcentral lists this ribosomal RNA (498 nucleotides) under uncultured bacterium. Its description in RNAcentral is "partial 16S ribosomal RNA". It matches the Rfam family "Bacterial small subunit ribosomal RNA", at positions 28 to 523 of the family's 1533-position model. The record is from RNAcentral.